This is a long non-coding RNA of Bubalus bubalis (water buffalo), 907 nucleotides long. RefSeq lists it as uncharacterized. The record is from RefSeq and is a predicted model, not a curated record. Lineage: Eukaryota; Metazoa; Chordata; Mammalia; Artiodactyla; Bovidae. The transcript has 3 exons.
GAGAAUUAGAGGAGAAGAACGAUCGAGGUAGUACCCAAAGUAGUUUCACAAUAUGAACACGCAUGCGACCCAUCUUUCUAUUUUAAAAAUAGGACUGCUGCUGCUAAGUCACUUCAGUCAUGUCCAGACUCUGUGUGACCCCAGAGACGGCAGCCACCAGGCUCCCCCAUCCCUGGGAUUCUCCAGUGAAAACCUGCCUCUUUUAUUUAGGUCUUAAAUUCGUUAUGUGUCAGGGAUUGUCCACCCAGAUGUAGCAUUCUGCAGAAAACCCUGCCACCCUGCUUGCCCCAGGAGCUGGAGAAUUUGUGACUUUCGAGAAAAAGAGCAAGCCAAAGAAUUUUUUCCCAGCUCCCUUCAAGCAAGAAGUUUACUUCUGUGAACACUUCUGUGUUCCUAUUGAGCUGAGGCCUACAACUUCGCCCAUGAGAAUGCAGUUCUCGGAUGGGAAGCUUCUGGCUUCCCAAGACUUGAGUGGCCCAAGAUGAAUUUUUGUGGAGAUGGAAAAAUUUCUAGGCAGUCCCAGAUCAGCGGGAGCACUGCCAUGACACAAUUGAAAGGACUCUUACUCCUGCUGGACAGCAUUGCUGCCUCUGCCUUUCCGGACAGCGCCUCCGAACCCAGCUGCCCUCCAGCUGCCUUUCUGGUCUACGUCGUCUCUCACAAGGCUCUUCACAGGCGGCUGAAGACUCCCAGCCUCUGGACAGACCCUCACUCCUCCUAGCCCCCUCCUCCCCAGCCCCCUCCUCCCUCCACCUCCCAGAGCCCCUGGCUGGGUCAUAUGGGGCAGGUCAGCACCCUGGGGGUCAACACGUCCAGAAUGGGAGGCUGGGCGUGGCGGAAUGUCAGUGUGAGCCCAGCUGCAUGGUUGUCUUUAAAAGGACUUUGAGAACCUUAAGACUGCUUGGAA